This is a long non-coding RNA of Pezoporus flaviventris, 1896 nucleotides long. RefSeq lists it as uncharacterized. Lineage: Eukaryota; Metazoa; Chordata; Aves; Psittaciformes; Psittacidae. The transcript has 3 exons. The record is from RefSeq and is a predicted model, not a curated record.
UCAAUACUGUAUACGUUUAUGUACAUGGAAAUACGGUGCUGAAUUAUAAUAUUAGGUUGACUAACUGGCAGCCAGUUCAUUCUAAUUUUUCUUUUUUUUAAUAGAGAAUUGAACCUAAACCUCUUUGGUUAAUUGUGUGAAUGCUUUUCCAUAUUCACAUUAUUCACUGUUUGUUUUCCUGGCUGAAAAAAAUUGAAGACUUUAAAAUGGAGCCUCUGAAAUAAAUGACAAGCCAGGGCUUACUUGUUCUGAAUCUUUCAGAACGACUUAACAAUUGCUAAAGACCAAUUUACAGUAGAACUAGGGCAAAUUGCUUCCCAGCCUUUUGAAUUGUAAAAAACCACAUCUCCCAAAUUCCUAAGCUAUUCAUCAAGUGUUCUAUUGUAGCAGGCUCACCCUAUAUUGUGUCCCUGAUAUGUCUAUUAACUCUGCAGUGAAGUGUGAGUUUAAAACAAUUGUGCCAUGGAGUCACUGUGGGAUAAAUACCACAAACAUCGGCAAAGUUGCUUCAUAAAUCUUUCAUAGUUUAGUGAGGAAUUUAGGCAUGCCUUUCUUCUAUGAGAGUGCAGCUGUUUCUUUUGGGGUCCCCCGGGGGCUGGAUCUUGGUGUAAGGCUGUUUAAUAUUGUUAUGUUCACAGUUUUUAUGAUGAUAUCUCAUCGUUACCCAUAGAUUACAUGCAGGUUUGUGCACGUAUUCCAAAUCAUUUUUUUUUAAAAUGGUCAGCAUCCAGCAGAAGGCAUUUUCCAUGCAGCAGCGUACAAAGGAACCAGGAAUGCAGUUACACCAGCAGGAUAGGGAACUGUCUUCAAACUGGUAAUUAGAGAAAAGACUUAAGAAUUUGUGCAGGGAAUCAUCUCAACACAACUUUUCAUGGUAAUGCUGUGACCGAAGUGUGGUCUUUGGCUGUAUAGCAAUAUAAAUAUUGCACAGAAAUAGGAAAGUACGUGGCAUUAGUAAGAUCAUGGGAAUUCUGUGUGUGGUUUUGCUGCUGACAUGUGAGGGAGGAUGUGAACUAUUAGUAAGAGUACAGUGACAAAAGUGAUCCAAGGUUUGGAAACCAAGUUUUACGAUGCAGGGUGUGCAGGGUUUAUUCCCCUCAGAAGAGACUAGGAGAAAUCAUGUCUGUCUAUAUCCUAUGUAUGUGUAAGGGAGAUACAUGAUACUUGACCCUACUAAGACAUCCGGUGUCUAGGAGAUGCAGUUAGGUAUGUUUUACCUUGAAAUAUAAACGGCAAUAAGGGCAAUAAAGCAUUCUAAUGGAUUUGCUGUUGCUGGGAGUGUAUUAAGUGAGAUGGGGUUUUCUUCUCAAAGAUGUGCUUUGGCUUGGCUUGGUGGAGGAUGUUUCCAGUGCAUGCAGAAGGGAGGGACUGUGCUCUGUUCACCUGCAUUCUUGCUUAGAUUGAGGAAACAAGAUUAUUUGAAGUGCUUUCUGUGUAUUGUAGCACAUGUUCCCACCUUGGAUAAGAUUACAAUAAAGUGUCAUGCUACAGAACUUGGCUGGUUUUCUCGUCUGUCAGGAGAACCAUUUUUUCUUUUAAUUCGACUUCUGGGAUUAUGAUUAAUUAUUGUGUACUUUCCUCCGGAGCAUCAACAUCUGGUGGCAGCUGGAGACAGGAUAUUGGGUGCUCACGUUCCUCACUUACUACUCCCUGUGGUUACAGAGUCCUCUCAUAUUCCCAGGGUGACAUUAAUGGAAGUUUUCUUGUUGAAAAGAACUGAAACUUGAGGAGCCUAAGUUCUUCUAAGGAGUUGGCACAAGUGUGCGAGGUAGUCGAAGUGGCCUGCCUAGGGUGGCAGGAUUGGAAGGAGAACAGGGAUCGGAAUAGAAGCAAAGAGCUUUUCAUCUGAGUGGAGCAGAGGAGAGCCUUGCAGCAGCCACCCCACCAUGCAUAUAU